Molecule: ribosomal RNA, 427 nt
Filed under: uncultured bacterium
Lineage: Bacteria
Description: partial 16S ribosomal RNA
Rfam family: Bacterial small subunit ribosomal RNA
Source: RNAcentral
UGGGGAAUAUUGCACAAUGGGCGCAAGCCUGAUGCAGCCAUGCCGCGUGUAUGAAGAAGGCCUUCGGGUUGUAAAGUACUUUCAGCGGGGAGGAAGGGAGUAAAGUUAGUACCUUUGCUCAUUGACGUCACCCGCAGAAGAAGCACCGGCUAACUCCGUGCCAGCAGCCGCGGUAAUACGGAGGGUGCAAGCGUUAAUCGGAAUUACUGGGCGUAAAGCGCACGCAGGCGGUUUGUUAAGUCAGAUGUGAAAUCCCCGGGCUCAACCUGGGAACUGCAUCUGAUACUGGCAAGCUUGAGUCUCGUAGAGGGGGGUAGAAUUCCAGGUGUAGCGGUGAAAUGCGUAGAGAUCUGGAGGAAUACCGGUGGCGAAGGCGGCCCCCUGGACGAAGACUGACGCUCAGGUGCGAAAGCGUGGGGAGCAAACA